CAGUCGCCCGGUAACACGGAGGGUGCAAGCGUUAAUCGGAAUUACUGGGCGUAAAGCGCACGCAGGCGGUCUGACAAGUCAGAUGUGAAAUCCCCGGGCUUAACCUGGGAACUGCAUUUGAAACUGUCAGGCUGGAGUCUUGUAGAGGGGGGUGGAAUUCCAGGUGUAGCGGUGAAAUGCGUAGAGAUCUGGAGGAAUACCGGUGGCGAAGGCGGCCCCCUGGACAAAGACUGACGCUCAGGUGCGAAAGCGUGGGGAGCAAACAGGAUUAGAUACCCCGGUAGUCCCUGUCUCUUAUACA
Molecule: ribosomal RNA, 301 nt
Filed under: uncultured bacterium
Lineage: Bacteria
Description: partial 16S ribosomal RNA
Rfam family: Bacterial small subunit ribosomal RNA
Source: RNAcentral